RNAcentral lists this ribosomal RNA (497 nucleotides) under uncultured bacterium. Its description in RNAcentral is "partial 16S ribosomal RNA". It matches the Rfam family "Bacterial small subunit ribosomal RNA", at positions 28 to 507 of the family's 1533-position model. The record is from RNAcentral.
GAUGAACGCUGGCGGCGUGCCUAAUACAUGCAAGUCGAGCGAACGGACGAGAAGCUUGCUUCUCUGAUGUUAGCGGCGGACGGGUGAGUAACACGUGGAUAACCUACCUAUAAGACUGGGAUAACUUCGGGAAACCGUAGCUAAUACCGGAUAAUAUUUUGAACCGCAUGGUUCAAAAGUGAAAGACGGUCUUGCUGUCACUUAUAGAUGGAUCCGCGCUGCAUUAGCUAGUUGGUAAGGUAACGGCUUACCAAGGCAACGAUGCAUAGCCGACCUGAGAGGGUGAUCGGCCACACUGGAACUGAGACACGGUCCAGACUCCUACGGGAGGCAGCAGUAGGGAAUCUUCCGCAAUGGGCGAAAGCCUGACGGAGCAACGCCGCGUGAGUGAUGAAGGUCUUCGGAUCGUAAAACUCUGUUAUUAGGGAAGAACAUAUGUGUAAGUAACUGUGCACAUCUUGACGGUACCUAAUCAUAAAGCCACGGCUAACUACGUG